GAUGAACGCGGGCGGCGUGCUUAACACAUGCAAGUCGAACGAUGAAGCCCAGCUUGCUGGGUGGAUUAGUGGCGAACGGGUGAGUAACACGUGAGUAACCUGCCCUUAACUCUGGGAUAAGCCUGGGAAACUGGGUCUAAUACCGGAUAGGAGCGUCCACCGCAUGGUGGGUGUUGGAAAGAUUUAUCGGUUUUGGAUGGACUCGCGGCCUAUCAGCUUGUUGGUGAGGUAAUGGCUCACCAAGGCGACGACGGGUAGCCGGCCUGAGAGGGUGACCGGCCACACUGGGACUGAGACACGGCCCAGACUCCUACGGGAGGCAGCAGUGGGGAAUAUUGCACAAUGGGCGCAAGCCUGAUGCAGCGACGCCGCGUGAGGGAUGACGGCCUUCGGGUUGUAAACCUCUUUCAGUAGGGAAGAAGCGAAAGUGACGGUACCUGCAGAAGAAGCACCGGCUAACUACGUGCCAGCAGCCGCGGUAAUACGUAGGGUGCGAGCGUUAUCCGGAAUUAUUGGGCGUAAAGAGCUCGUAGGCGGUUUGUCGCAUCUGUCGUGAAAGUCCGGGGCUUAACCCCGGAUCUGCGGUGGGUACGGGCAGACUAGAGUGCAGUAGGGGAGACUGGAAUUCCUGGU
This 633-nucleotide ribosomal RNA is filed under the name uncultured Micrococcus sp. RNAcentral describes it as "bacterial SSU rRNA". It matches the Rfam family "Bacterial small subunit ribosomal RNA", at positions 28 to 674 of the family's 1533-position model. Lineage: Bacteria; Bacillati; Actinomycetota; Actinomycetes; Micrococcales; Micrococcaceae. The record is from RNAcentral.